RNAcentral lists this long non-coding RNA (577 nucleotides) under Phoenix dactylifera (date palm). RNAcentral's name for it is "long non-coding RNA (PDAC_LNC014526)". Lineage: Eukaryota; Viridiplantae; Streptophyta; Magnoliopsida; Arecales; Arecaceae. The record is from RNAcentral.
GGCCUUAGCAGCUCUACUACAGUGGAAGACCUAUUGACUUAAUAUUGGUUAAUCAGGUCUUAGUGUUUGCAACUUGAGUCCUUCAUAAGAGGUAAUCGAACAAUUGGCCAGGUAAGCAGGUGGGAGGCUCCCCUUAUUCAGAGAGUAAGGUCCUAAUUAAGUAACCACCUUUCGUGCUUUCCUAGACACCAAUUAGAUCAAUUAAUCUAAUAUGACUUGCUCAUGUCGGUUCACUCUCGACUUGAUUGAGGAAGUUUUGAUUUAGGUCUCAAUUGGGUUUGCUACAUCACAUGUAAACCUAUCUACCCGACUCGCAUUCACAUCUCAUGCAAACGGUACAUCACAGGCAGUUAUAAUCGCAGCAUCAAAUAAAGUUAAACUUUAAAUAGGUGAUGAUAAUGGAUUCUAAUUAGGUCGUAUUACAAGCACAUGCACAUCAAUCGAUCAAGCGGUCUUCAACUCUUGAGUUGGUUCUAAGCCUCCUUGAUUCGAUCCUUGAUCAACUCUUGAUCCCAUCGCCAUCAACCGCUUAGAUCACCUUUCAUCUCAUGCCUUUGCUUCAACUUGAUCGUUGAUG